This 468-nucleotide ribosomal RNA is filed under the name uncultured bacterium. RNAcentral's name for it is "partial 16S ribosomal RNA". It matches the Rfam family "Bacterial small subunit ribosomal RNA", at positions 28 to 507 of the family's 1533-position model. The record is from RNAcentral.
GACGAACGCUGGCGGCGUGCUUAACACAUGCAAGUCGAACGGAAAGGCCCUGCUUUUGUGGGGUGCUCGAGUGGCGAACGGGUGAGUAACACGUGAGUAACCUGCCCUUGACUUUGGGAUAACUUCAGGAAACUGGGGCUAAUACCGGAUAUGAGCUCCUGCUGCAUGGUGGGGGUUGGAAAGUUUCGGCGGUUGGGGAUGGACUCGCGGCUUAUCAGCUUGUUGGUGGGGUAGUGGCUUACCAAGGCUUUGACGGGUAGCCGGCCUGAGAGGGUGACCGGCCACAUGGGGACUGAGAGACGGACCAGACUCCAACGGGAGGCAGCAGUGGGGAAUAUUGCACAAUGGGCGGAAGCCUGAUGCAGCAACGCCGCGUGCGGGAUGACGGCCUUCGGGUUGUAAACCGCUUUCGACUGUGACGAAGCGGGAGUGACGGUAAUGGGUAAAGAAGCACCGGCUAACUACGUG